AAUAUCAACAUGUCUGUGUUUGUAGCCAGCAUUGUCAUCCAGAGGAUUUCGAAACCGAACUGAAGUCUCAACUGAUAGGGUUGCCAUGUUGUCAACUGUUAAAAAGUGAUGCUAUUCAAUCUAUUUUUACCCUUCACUUCAAAGAGGAAGGCAUCCAAUCAGCCAACAUCAGAGCAACAGAAAAUAAGUCAAGCUGAGAGUUAGAUCCCAUCAACAUCAAGCUCAGCACCAGGAACUAGUACAGAUGAAGGGAGAUGAGGCUCAUCCAGAGGCUGGGGACCAGUUGUGUAAACAGGACAGAAAAAUGGACCAAUUCAUGCCGUUAUCAAGAGGACUUCCCUUGUCAUCCCUACUGCCUCUAAUCUGGCGAACUCACUAAACACAGAUGCUUCGUUGGUAAAUGAUG
Molecule: long non-coding RNA, 406 nt
Organism: Oncorhynchus kisutch (coho salmon)
Lineage: Eukaryota; Metazoa; Chordata; Actinopteri; Salmoniformes; Salmonidae
Exons: 4
Source: RefSeq, a predicted model, not a curated record